ACGAACGCUGGCGGCGUGCUUAACACAUGCAAGUCGAGCGGUAAGGCCCUUUCGGGGGUACACGAGCGGCGAACGGGUGAGUAACACGUGGGUGACCUGCCCUCAGCUCUGGGAUAAGCCUGGGAAACCGGGUCUAAUACCGGAUAUGACUCCAUGACGCAUGUUGUGGGGUGGAAAGCCUUGUGCGGCUGAGGAUGGGCCCGCGGCCUAUCAGCUUGUUGGUGGGGUGANGGCCUACCAAGGCGACGACGGGUAGCCGGCCUGAGAGGGCGACCGGCCACACUGGGACUGAGACACGGCCCAGACUCCUACGGGAGGCAGCAGUGGGGAAUCUUGCGCAAUGGGCGAAAGCCUGACGCAGCGACGCCGCGUGAGGGAUGACGGCCUGGUGUAACUCUU
Molecule: ribosomal RNA, 399 nt
Filed under: uncultured bacterium
Lineage: Bacteria
Description: bacterial SSU rRNA
Rfam family: Bacterial small subunit ribosomal RNA
Source: RNAcentral